Molecule: ribosomal RNA, 362 nt
Filed under: uncultured Enterobacteriaceae bacterium
Lineage: Bacteria; Pseudomonadati; Pseudomonadota; Gammaproteobacteria; Enterobacterales; Enterobacteriaceae
Description: bacterial SSU rRNA
Rfam family: Bacterial small subunit ribosomal RNA
Source: RNAcentral
UUCGGGAACUGUGAGACAGGUGCUGCAUGGCUGUCGUCAGCUCGUGUUGUGAAAUGUUGGUUAAGUCCCGCAACGAGCGCAACCCUUAUCCUUUGUUGCCAGCGGUCCGGCCGGGAACUCAAAGGAGACUGCCAGUGAUAAACUGGAGGAAGGUGGGGAUGACGUCAAGUCAUCAUGGCCCUUACGACCAGGGCUACACACGUGCUACAAUGGCGCAUACAAAGAGAAGCGACCUCGCGAGAGCAAGCGGACCUCAUAAAGUGCGUCGUAGUCCGGAUUGGAGUCUGCAACUCGACUCCAUGAAGUCGGAAUCGCUAGUAAUCGUGGAUCAGAAUGCCACGGUGAAUACGUUCCCGGGCCUU